GCAUAAGAGUGGAGCAAGGACAAGUCAGCCGGUCCACCAGGAAAGGGAGGGUCCGUAGGUAACACCUCCGGUGCAGCAGCUGCUGCAAUGUCAUCCUCGUCUCCUGCAUCCUGCUGAUGUGGUAUAUGAUCCUGGUCAUAUCCACCAUCCGUCACAUCAUGAUGUACCUGAUCCUGAUAGUUCAGGUACUCCACCCCAGUCUGGUCAACAGGCUGUGACGGGUCAACAACCUGUGACUCCUCAGGCUGUGUAGCCUGAGAGCUUCAUGAGCCAUCUCCCCUCCGACCUCUACCCCUCUUUGGGAUGUGGCC
Molecule: long non-coding RNA, 311 nt
Filed under: Medicago truncatula (barrel medic)
Lineage: Eukaryota; Viridiplantae; Streptophyta; Magnoliopsida; Fabales; Fabaceae
Description: long non-coding RNA (MTRU_LNC003410)
Source: RNAcentral